GACGAACGCUGGCGGCGUGCCUAACACAUGCAAGUGGAGCGACGAACCGGGGCUUGCCCCGGGGCAGAGCCGCGAACGGGUGAGUAACACGUGGGUUACCUGCCCCGAUGACUGGGACAACCCGUCGAAAGACGGGCUAAUACCGGAUGUGCCCCUUGGGGGAAAGGAAGCUUCGGCCUCCGCAUCGGGAUGGGCCCGCGGCGCAUUAGCUUGUUGGUGGGGUAAUGGCUUACCAAGGCGACGAUGCGUAGCUGGUCUGAGAGGACGAUCAGCCACACUGGGACUGAGACACGGCCCAGACUCCUACGGGAGGCAGCAGUGGGGAAUCUUGCACAAUGCGCGAAAGCGUGAUGCAGCAACGCCGCGUGCGGGAAGAAGGCCUUAGGGUUGUAAACCGCUUUCAGUUGGGACGAAGCUUCAGUCGUUAAUAGCGGUUUGGAGUGACGGUACCUUCAGAAGAAGCGCCGGCUAACUACGUGCCAGCAGCCGCGGUAAUACGUAGGGCGCGAGCGUUGUCCGGAAUCAUUGGGCGUAAAGCGCGUGUAGGCGGCUGAGUAAGUCUGCUGUGAAAGUCUAGGGCUCAACCCUGGAAUGUCGGCGGAUACUGCUCAGCUGGAGUACGGGAGGGGCGAGUGGAAUUCCUGGUGUAGCGGUGGAAUGCGCAGAUAUCAGGAGGACACCUAUGGCGAAGGCAGCUCGCUGGAACGUUACUGACGCU
Molecule: ribosomal RNA, 718 nt
Filed under: uncultured Actinomycetes bacterium
Lineage: Bacteria; Bacillati; Actinomycetota; Actinomycetes
Description: bacterial SSU rRNA
Rfam family: Bacterial small subunit ribosomal RNA
Source: RNAcentral